RNAcentral lists this ribosomal RNA (560 nucleotides) under uncultured Moraxella sp. Its description in RNAcentral is "bacterial SSU rRNA". It matches the Rfam family "Bacterial small subunit ribosomal RNA", at positions 292 to 844 of the family's 1533-position model. The record is from RNAcentral. Lineage: Bacteria; Pseudomonadati; Pseudomonadota; Gammaproteobacteria; Moraxellales; Moraxellaceae.
CUGAGAGGAUGAUCAGCCACACUGGGACUGAGACACGGCCCAGACUCCUACGGGAGGCAGCAGUGGGGAAUAUUGGACAAUGGGCGAAAGCCUGAUCCAGCCAUGCCGCGUGUGUGAAGAAGGCCUUUUGGUUGUAAAGCACUUUAAGUGGGGAGGAAAAGCUUAUGGUUAAUACCCAUAAGCCCUGACGUUACCCACAGAAUAAGCACCGGCUAACUCUGUGCCAGCAGCCGCGGUAAUACAGAGGGUGCAAGCGUUAAUCGGAAUUACUGGGCGUAAAGCGCGCGUAGGUGGUUAUUUAAGUCAGAUGUGAAAGCCCCGGGCUUAACCUGGGAACUGCAUCUGAUACUGGAUAACUAGAGUAGGUGAGAGGGGAGUAGAAUUCCAGGUGUAGCGGUGAAAUGCGUAGAGAUCUGGAGGAAUACCGAUGGCGAAGGCAGCUCCCUGGCAUCAUACUGACACUGAGGUGCGAAAGCGUGGGUAGCAAACAGGAUUAGAUACCCUGGUAGUCCACGCCGUAAACGAUGUCUACCAGUCGUUGGGUCUUUUAAAGACUUAGU